RNAcentral lists this ribosomal RNA (257 nucleotides) under Staphylococcus sp. SKL70935. Its description in RNAcentral is "partial 23S ribosomal RNA". It matches the Rfam family "Bacterial large subunit ribosomal RNA", at positions 110 to 360 of the family's 2925-position model. The record is from RNAcentral. Lineage: Bacteria; Bacillati; Bacillota; Bacilli; Caryophanales; Staphylococcaceae.
AUUUCCGAAUGGGGGAACCCAACAUGAGUUAUGUCAUGUUAUCGACAUGUGAAUUCAUAGCAUGUCAGAAGGCAGACCCGGAGAACUGAAACAUCUUAGUACCCGGAGGAAGAGAAAGAAAAAUCGAUACCCUGAGUAGCGGCGAGCGAAACGGGAAGAGCCCAAACCAACAAGCUUGCUUGUUGGGGUUGUAGGACACUCUAUACGGAGUUACAAAAGAACAUGUUAGACGAAUCAUCUGGAAAGAUGAAUCAAAG